RNAcentral lists this unclassified non-coding RNA (239 nucleotides) under Melitaea cinxia (Glanville fritillary). RNAcentral describes it as "misc RNA ENSMCXG00005010106.1". The record is from RNAcentral. Lineage: Eukaryota; Metazoa; Arthropoda; Insecta; Lepidoptera; Nymphalidae.
AGUCACAGGUUGAGAAGGCUCUAAGGUUGUGUUACUUAAAAUUUAAGGUUGCUCUAAGUUUACUUAUAUAUGUACGAUGCUAUCUACUCGUAUCACAACGCCAUCUAUUAAUCAGAAAAUGUACCAAAUUUUACUAAAUAGAAAAAAUUAAAUUUUACUGUUAUAAAUAAAUAUAAGACGAGUAUUUUAUACUCGACCUAAAACAAUAAAACGUGAAAAUAUACGAUGCUUAAUACGAG